GAACAUACCUAUCCAAUUACUCCAAUUGCAUUCAUUUUUUUGUCAAACAUUUGCAGACGCUUUUUUGCAUUUUUCUGACAGACUUUUUUCAAGAAAUAAACAUAUUUCAGCAGCAAAAUGGACGAAUUGCAAAUGGAUACAAAUUCCCUAUCCGAGUCUGCGUCUGAAUAUGCCACUAGUGAACGCGCACAGGAAACCCCGCGAGAGGAGAAACUUGCAACAGGCGCCAAUACCGGCACCGGCAUUUGCUAUUGUGGGAAGGAACGAAAUCUCAAUAUUGUGGAGCUCCUGUGUGCCAAUUGCAGUCGUUGGUUUCACGAAUCUUGUAUUGGCUAUCAGCUGGGCAAGUUGGUACCGUUCAUCACCAAUUAUGUGUUCGUCUGCAAGAAUUGCUCGCAAAGUGGGCUUGAGGUCUUUCGAAAAAGUCAAGCGACUAUACCACAAAUGUGCAUCACUGCCAUAGCCAAUAUGCAGCAAAAUGCGCUGAAGGAAGGGAAGACUAAAUUCCUAUUUAGCAAAGACAAAGAAAUCAUCCCAUACAUCGAACAGUACUGGGAGGCAAUGACGACAAUGCCUCGACGUGUCACACAAUCUUGGUAUUCUACGGUGCAGAGGUCACUUGUCAAAGAUGUCAGCACUUUGUUCACGUACGAGGAAAACUCUGAAUUCGGCACCAUGUUUGGUUUAGUAACGCAGGAUCUCGCACAGAUUAAACCGAACUACGAUUCCAUGGGUAAGGGCGGAUUACUGCGAACAUCCGAAGAUGGUCACGGAGCAGCUUCAUCACUGACAAAGAAUAAUCGUCAAUACAAACGAAAACCGCCCGGUAAUGAUUCUGGACCUACUGGUAAAAAGGGCCGACCUAGUUCAGAUAUUACCGCAAAUGUGAAACUACCAGCUCAUGGGUAUCCGUUGGAGCAUCCUUUUAAUAAGGAUGGCUAUCGUUAUAUUCUAGCUGAACCUGAUCCUCAUGCACCCUUCCGGCAAGAGUUCGACGAAAGCUCUGAUUGGGCUGGCAAACCAAUACCUGGUUGGCUGUAUAGAACACUGGUUCCCAAUUGCGUUUUAUUGGCCUUGCAUGAUCGUGCACCACAACUAAAAAUUUCAGAAGAUCGUCUGUCUGUCACUGGUGAUAAGGGAUACUGUAUGGUGCGCGCUACUCAUUCUGUAAAUCGUGGGCGCUGGUAUUUUGAAGCCAUUGUUGAUGAUAUGCCCGAAGGCUCUGCAACAAGAUUGGGCUGGGGUCAGGAGUACGGCAACCUGCAAGCACCCCUCGGCUAUGACAAAUUUGGCUACUCAUGGCGGUCACGCAAGGGAACUAGAUUCCAUGAGAGUCAUGGCAAACACUAUAGCGAUGCUUAUGCGGAAGGCGAAGUGCUGGGUUUUUUAAUAGAUUUACCUGAUGAAGUUGACAGCAAUUACUUACCUAACACGUUUAAGGACAGACCGUUAGUAAAGUUCAAGUCACAUUUGUAUUAUGAGGAUAAGGACAAAGUGCAGGAAACACUUAAAGGCCUUCAAGUGCAGCCUGGCAGCAAAAUAGAAUUUUUUAAGAAUGGAAAAUCCCAAUCUGUAGCUUUUUCAGAUAUAUAUGGUGGUUUAUAUUAUCCUACCAUAUCAAUACAUAAGAAUGCCACCGUAAGUGUAAAUUUCGGACCGAAUUUCAAGCACCCCGAAAUAUUAAAGGACUACAAAGCGAAGGGAAUGUGUGAACGUGUUGAGGAAUUAAUAAGCGAACAGUGCCUCUCAGAUUUAUUAUAUUUGACCGAGAAUGAUGGAAGAUUGCGUUUGGAUAACUUUAACUUGUAAGAAUUACUAUACCGAAUUUUAUUUAAAUUUUUUUAAUGCAGUUGUAACUAAUCUAAAAAUAGCAGUAAAUUAAAAUAAUACUACAAUGGUGAGUGCGGCAGUGACGAUAUUUGAAUGAACGCGAUUCGAAGGAUUCGAGCUUGAGUGAGAUGAGGGUUUACAUUAAAUUUGCACGCUCCUAGAAUAUUGCAAUAUUUGGAUGAAACACAACCGUUUUAAAAAUAAAACCUGUUCAGAAAAUUGUUUUUGACUAUGUUGUAAAGUUAUUUCAAAAUAUUCCUUGUCGAAAUAUUAAGCUAAAUAAAACAUAUUUUUUUUUAUAAUUUUACCAACAGAAUAUCUGUACCUACUGUUGUCAAAAUUUAUUUGACCACAAUUUUAUUUUCAAUAUUUGCAGAGCUUUAAAGCACAUAUUUCAUUUGGAGUGUUAAAAAAUAUCGUCGCUUGCUCCACUGCCACUACGACGA
This is an RNA transcript of Rhagoletis zephyria (snowberry fruit fly), 2276 nucleotides long. It is a transcript of the gene named Set1/Ash2 histone methyltransferase complex subunit ash2, with no coding region annotated. The record is from RefSeq and is a predicted model, not a curated record. NCBI's taxonomy places the organism in Eukaryota, Metazoa, Arthropoda, Insecta, Diptera, Tephritidae.